UCGGUGACUCACUUCCAGCUGAACAAUGCCACAUCUCAGCCCUGCGCCGGGGGAGGGGCACGCCUGUCAACAGCCAGGGCCCGGCUGAAGGACGGUCCGGUCCGGAAGGGGGGACCCCAUCCAGAGAGCCUUGCCCUCCCCGCCCCCCCCAUCUGCCCGUGGGGGUAUGAACUCAGGCAGGCCAGGGAUUGAAUCUGCCCCUCAGCAGUGACCUGACCACAGCAGUGACAACGCUGGAUCCUUUAACCACUGAACCAGUCACCAGGGAACUCCCACGUUAUGGGAUCCCCCGGUGUGGUUCCCCAGUGCCAGUGUUGUCUGAUUCCAGGUGAGUCAGUUCACCAUAGACCUUCCUGAAGCCUAUUGGAGAGGCAUUUUGCUAAUGCUGGGAGCAGGAAGAUGAGACAGGCAGCCACAGACUCUGCAGAUCAGGGAGCAAAUGGUCUCUCACCCUGCAGAGACAACCUUUAUACUUUUCAUGGAUCUCCAGCAUGUAUUUGGAGCAUCUCCUACCUUGUUGGUCUGCCAGGGAGGUGGAGCCCUCUUCCUACCCUAAAAACCAGACCUCACUUUCCCAGCCUCCUUUGCGGCUGCAGUGCAGUCAUGUGACCUGCUCAGCCAAUCAGAUGCAGCCACUCGGUAACUCUGCUUCUGAAGCAGGUGAUACAAAUGAGCAGAGAUGGGAUGUAUCUGACAGAGUGGUCCGGCGGCAGCAGAAGGAGGAAUUUUCAGGGAUAGUGGAGCCUGAGGUGUAAUUUGGGCUGGGGUUCUGGCUGCAGUCUGGUGCUCCUUGGUUCCUGAGCCAGCCUGAGGAGUCUGAGCAUUCUGUCACUUGCGACCAAGCAGUGUUAAUACAGAGAAGUCACCACUGUGGGAAUGGAGAGGAGCUGGAUCCUGAAGUGGACGUGUCUGGACUUGGUGAGUAGUGCUUCUGUGGGGUGGGCAGCUGCGAAGGAAUCUAGUUUCCUUAUCUGGAAUCUGGAUGGGAUAUCCUGCCUAGGUGCUAGGCGGUGUAUCCCAGACAGGAAGUGAGGAGUAGGAGGGAUGUGAGAGAAGAGAUCCUGGAGCUUGAGGAUGAGGCGGGAAGGAGGGAGAUGAACUCAAGGCAGCUGGGGGCUGGGGGGAGAAAGAGCGCUUUGUAACACGAACCAAUCUGGGUGAUGUGGUUCCAUCUGCCUCAAAUAUUGCUUGACGCUUUGUUAUACACCAGGCAGUGUACUGGUUAAUAAAACAGUUUGGGGAUGGGUAUUGUUAUCCUCAUCUUACAUGUAAAGAAAGGGUGAUACAGAGAAGUGAAACAGCUUGUACAAAAUCAGAAAAUCAGAGACCAAAAUUCAAACCUGGGUCUAACUGCUAUGCUGAUGCUCUUAAGAACCUAAACAGAUGCUCAGAUGAGGGAACAAAGUCUCUGCCUCAGUCCCUGAGUUUUUACAUAUUUCCAAUGAGUCCUUUAAGUAAAAUAUUCUCCCUGCAAGUACUUUGUGAGGCAAUGCAGUUGAGUAAUAGAAUCUGGGGGCCUGGUUCACUUUGUAAAUACCAAUUCUUUCAUCCUCUUCCCCUACCGGGGUCCAGUCAAAUGAGCACUAAUACAGACAGUUGGUUACCCACCCCGUGGCCCUUCCACUCCCCUUCUCUCAGCACCCACCGAGGUUGCUUUUAAGUGUUCAUGCUUAUCCUUCUGGGACCAGGGUUAGUACUGUGGCAUUAAUAGUGACAUUACCCCCCUUGCUUGGGAUAGAUUCAAGCAUGUGAUGCGACUCAAUUCUGGCCAAUGAGCAGUGAAGAAUAGAUUCCUAUUCGUUUAUAGGGGGCUUCUGAGAAAAACUUUCCUUGAUCUUAAAAUGGGACACAAUGAUGAGAUGUUUUCUGGGGUUUUAUUUAUUUAUUUAUUUAUUUAUUUAUUUGCUGCUGUGCGCAUUGUGUGGUGAUGUGAUGUCUGGGGUGGGCGCAACCAUCUUGCAACUGUGAGGCAAGCUAGCCAAGGACGAGGCGACGUGCUGAGAAUGGCAGAAGGGAAGGAAAAGAGGAAGUCUGGGUCACUCAUGAUGAUGCUGAGCUGCAGGAUUAACCUCUUCUGAAGCUAUUGUUCCUCUGGACUUCUUGUUCUCUGAGAUAAGACACUUUCCUUAUUGUCUAAGCCACCUGAAAGAAGUUCUCUGUUUCUGGCCACUGAAAAGACCUUUACCGAUGUAUGAGCCACGGGUUCAAAAGAAUGUACACCCAAUGUGCUAAUGUGAUAUGCCGACAGUUGGAACAACAGCAUUGGUUAAAGGGGAAAACCGGAUUCCUUGACCAAGGGAGGCACUGAAAAGUCCUUUCUCUGCUGGUUCAGUGGGGAGAGAGUGUGGCAGUCUGAGGCCCUGCACUCUGCAUCUCGUCCACGCAUGUGGGAGGCCUCCUAUCAGAGGAGAGGUCUGCUCCUGGCCAGCCGAACUUCUGACUCCCAUUUCCUGUAGGGUCAGCAGAGGAAAGCAGCUUUAUUUACUGAGUCAGGAUGGAAAACAGAUGUCUAAGCACCCCGCUGGGCCCGGGCUCACCCUGGACAGAGGCCGGGCCUGUUCUCAGCCCUGACCCGCCCACCAACCUCUUGUUCCCCAUAUCGAGUCCAGAUGUGGCUUCUUCCAAGCUCUAAUAAUAAUUUUGAUUUGUUGCAGCUAAAUAAACUACACCCCUCCCAGC
Molecule: long non-coding RNA, 2679 nt
Filed under: Sus scrofa (pig)
Lineage: Eukaryota; Metazoa; Chordata; Mammalia; Artiodactyla; Suidae
Description: lncRNA (ENSSSCG00050027406.1)
Source: RNAcentral